GAUGAACGCUGGCGGCGUGCCUAAUACAUGCAAGUCGAGCGAACAGACGAGGAGCUUGCUCCUCUGACGUUAGCGGCGGACGGGUGAGUAACACGUGGAUAACCUACCUAUAAGACUGGGAUAACUUCGGGAAACCGGAGCUAAUACCGGAUAAUAUAUUGAACCGCAUGGUUCAAUAGUGAAAGACGGUUUUGCUGUCACUUAUAGAUGGUUCCGCGCCGCAUUAGCUAGUUGGUAAGGUAACGGCUUACCAAGGCAACGAUGCGUAGCCGACCUGAGAGGGUGAUCGGCCACACUGGAACUGAGACACGGUCCAGACUCCUACGGGAGGCAGCAGUAGGGAAUCUUCCGCAAUGGGCGAAAGCCUGACGGAGCAACGCCGCGUGAGUGAUGAAGGUCUUCGGAUCGUAAAACUCUGUUAUUAGGGAAGAACAAAUGUGUCAGUAACUAUGCACGUCUUGACGGUACCUAAUCAGAAAGCCACGGCUAACUACGUG
RNAcentral lists this ribosomal RNA (497 nucleotides) under uncultured bacterium. RNAcentral describes it as "partial 16S ribosomal RNA". It matches the Rfam family "Bacterial small subunit ribosomal RNA", at positions 28 to 507 of the family's 1533-position model. The record is from RNAcentral.